This 265-nucleotide ribosomal RNA is filed under the name uncultured archaeon. Its description in RNAcentral is "partial 16S ribosomal RNA". It matches the Rfam family "Archaeal small subunit ribosomal RNA", at positions 717 to 982 of the family's 1478-position model. The record is from RNAcentral.
ACACGUCUACAUUAGAUACCCGGGUAGUCCCAGCCGUAAACUAUGCGCGUUAGGUGUAUCGGUGACCACGAGUCACCGAGGUGCCGAAGGGAAACCGUGAAACGUGCCGCCUGGGAAGUACGGUCGCAAGGCUGAAACUUAAAGGAAUUGGCGGGGGAGCACCACAACAGGUGGAGCCUGCGGUUUAAUUGGACUCAACGCCGGACAACUCACCGGGGACGACAGCAAUAUGUAGGCCAGGCUGAAGACCUUGCCUGAAUCGCUG